AUGUCCAUAGCACAGGAUUCAUCGGUUAUGGAGAUUGCUAGCAUGAUUGCCAGUAUGUACGAUGAUCUAACGGCCAUUCUUGUAACAUAUUAUGCUGAGAUCCGGCCAUCUCCUGAGUGCGUCUUGUUUGGAUCAACUACUGAAGGCGCACCUUUGAAGAUCGACCUUCCUAAAUGCAAUUUCGGCAGAGACCCAUGGGUUGUUGGUACAGUAACCGCACCACCACCCGAGAACGCUCUCAGAGCUAUAAGAGACUGGAUGGCAGCAGCUUCUACCUUAAAUCUUCAGAGGCCAUGGGUUGUACACCCCAAACCUCGUUUCAUCUCAGUGGAUGGCUUAGAUAUUCAGCAACAGCUUGUGGCACACAAGAAAAUGUCCCAUGAAAUUUGUACUUCCAUCUUCCGCAGACUUGCCCAACUUGACAUGAGCUUCUCAAAAGACACCCCUGGUAUGAUGUGGAGGAAAUACAUCGAGCCUAAUUUUGCGACAACUGUUCUGUCCAAUGCCGACCCACUGAUUGUGCACUCCAUUAGGGCUAGCUUGCGGGAGGGAACCGCCUCUUGCAACCCAGCAUCAUGCCGCAUGUGGUUUAUUCCAGCUAUUCUCCCAGAUGGCUGGGUGGUUUAUGCAUUUGACAUGUUGCGCAAGCGAAUCGUCGUUUAUGACCCUGCUGUCGGCCCAUUCGGAUACAGUAAUCGCCGAGUCAGCAUCCAUGAAUUUGUGAGCAACAAACUUCAUGUUGCUCUGUUCAACUGCCUCUAUAGUUUUUUCAGUUCAUGGCAUUGUGAAUCAACUCACUGGACACGUACAUUUCCAAUCAUAAUGAGAGAACAAUUUCACAAGGACGAAGCCGGAUUAUGUGCCACUUUUUUUGCAAGGAACUAUGACGGUGACAAGUUGCAAAUCCCACUCACCAAAGAAACACUCGUAUCGCACAGCAACCUCAUGCUGUACGAGCUGAUGAGGACGCAAGGAAAUCAAACAAAAGCUGCUAGCGACUCGCUCGAAGCAAUUAAAGGGUCAUUUGUCGUUCUGUAG
This 1038-nucleotide ribosomal RNA is filed under the name Triticum aestivum (bread wheat). RNAcentral describes it as "partial small subunit ribosomal RNA". Lineage: Eukaryota; Viridiplantae; Streptophyta; Magnoliopsida; Poales; Poaceae. The record is from RNAcentral.